Molecule: long non-coding RNA, 999 nt
Filed under: Olea europaea subsp. europaea
Lineage: Eukaryota; Viridiplantae; Streptophyta; Magnoliopsida; Lamiales; Oleaceae
Source: RNAcentral
AUUUUCAAUCUCCGAAGAAUCAGAUGGCACUGUAGUAUCAACAGGAGGGUUAUUAUGGUCUGAGGAGGAUAAUACUGGAGUACAAGCAUUGUCUAAAUUUCUCCUUGUAUAGCAUUUUCGGAACAAGCGAGGUGAUCUAUCAUCCUCAACUCUAGAUUCAUUUUUUGAUUCUACUUGGGAUUCCCCCUCCUUUCUAGAAAUCCACACUUUCUUUUCAUCUAACCACACUCGUUCCUCUUCCUUACUACUAAUCUCCCCCUGAAGAGGAACUAACGACACGUCAUCAGAAAAAAAUGAUUCUGACUCGCAAAAUUCCACAUCCAUAGAAACAUAGUAUUUUCCUGUAGGGGGAUGAAAACAUUUGUAGCCCUUCUGGGAGCUAGAGUAGCCAAGGAAGACACAUUUCAGUGCACGAGGAUCAAAUUUAUCUCUGAGAUGAGAGUGCACAUGAACAUAACACACACAACCAAAAACUUUAGGACAUAGAUUUAAAACAGAGGGAAUAGAGUGAAACUGUGACAACAUUUUUAAGGGAGUUUGAAAGUCAAUGAUGCGAGCAGGCAUCCGAUUUAUGAGAAAGACAGAAGUAGUUACCGCUUCGGCCCAAAAACGUUUUGGAACACGCAUAGUAAAACAUAAGACUCGAGCAACUUCAAGAAUGUGUCGAUUUUUUCGCUCUGCGACGCCGUUUUGUUGAGGUGUGUAAGCACAAGUGGUCUGAUGGAGAAUGCCGUGAGUCGAGAAGAAGUUGCCAAGAGUUUGGUUUACAAACUCACGACCAUUGUCAGAAUGAAUAACUUUGACCUGUGUAUGAAAUUGUGUCUCAAUCAUUUUAGAGAAUUUUGGAAUAACAUGCCCAACUUCACCCUUAGAUUUUAACAAAUAUAUCCAACAAACUCUGGUACAGUCAUCAAUGAAAGAGAUAAAAUAUUUAUGACCUGUAAUAGAUGGAGUAGAGAAAGGCCCCCAAACAUCAGUAUGAACACAAGUAAAAGGAAC